RNAcentral lists this long non-coding RNA (1645 nucleotides) under Strigops habroptila (Kakapo). RNAcentral's name for it is "lncRNA (ENSSHBG00005015760.1)". Lineage: Eukaryota; Metazoa; Chordata; Aves; Psittaciformes; Psittacidae. The record is from RNAcentral.
GAGUUAAGCCUUUUUAUUAUUUAAAUCUGAGUCAUGUAAAAUUAGUUUACUAGCAAGUAACCCACAAAGAUCUAGUAUGGAAAGAAACUCCCACAUAUUGUUUUCCAACACAAUAAGAGAAUGAUCAGAUACAAAGAUUUGCAAGCAGCUCGUAAUACAAGAUGUAAUUGAAAGACCAACAUUUAAUUCAGCCAAAAAGACAUGAGAAUGUUUCUGUGAGCCUAAGAGUUGCUCUCAGACCUUGGCUGUUUGGUGUUCUUUAGCUUCAAAUUAAACCUGGCGGUAUGAAAAACUCUCUUUUUUCCUCUAGCUUAUCCAUAACCCAAAAUACCUAUGAAAGAGGAAAGGCAGCUGUAGAUAACAAAUGCCAGAUGAGCAAGAGCUUGCUAUUCUCAGUCUAGCACAACAGCCAGAGGAUUCGAUCAGCAUUUUACUAAAACAUCAUCAAGAAUAUACUAAGACUGGGUGGUUGCACGUCCAUCAAGCUUGAGAAGACCCUGCAGCAAGAGACAAAUGGACAAUACAGAGUGACAAUGAACAAAUCCUCUUUUUCUCACCAGGACCAUAUUCAGCCAUCCUCAAUAGCAGGAGAAGACAUCCGGACACUGCAUACACAGGCAUUUUCUCCCUUUGUGUUCCUUUUUUAAAUCUCUGUUUUAAAGUGCUUGUUUUUCUGUUGUAAAAUAUGUCUUCUGAUGAUAGUGCACACUCCACAGACAUUACAGUAGAAAGCCUUACUGAUAAUUUUUUGAGACUCUAAUUCCUUAAGACAACACUUGGUUUUGGUGCUGUGUGCCCAAAUCCACAGUCCUAAUUAAGCACAAAUGAAGCUGGAAGAGACCUCCACAAUUUCUCAAAACAGUUAGUGUCCUUUAAUUAGAAAAGGUCAGACAUGAUAGCAGAGACCUGACACAGUCCUUGUGGUGGUGUUGGCAGCACAUCUGCACCCUGGGACACUCGUGGGUGAGGACAGCACAUGUCCAUGUCCCGGCAAGGCGAUACAAACAGCUCUUCAUACGUCUCCUUUUGUCAGCACAGAGCACAUGCAUCAAUAGGCAGAUGGACCCAUAUGCAGUAACUGCAAGGAGACUGUUAACCACACACCAUAUCCUCACUGAGCUGAGACUACUCCUGUUGCUGGGGUUUCUCAUUCCUCAUUUGGAUUUGUCUUGAUGUCUCCCUGAGAACAUAAUGGCGGACACGUUGUGGACUGCAGGACCUUCAUCACUAAUGGUGACGCACAAGACAGGAAGGAUGCACAGGUCUGAAGUCGAUUUUGGCAGGCAGCAGUUAGAAAAGCUAGGAUGCAUUUUCAGCCUUAUUCAGAUCAAUGGGAAUUCUGCCACUGAUGUCAGUGGGAUGAAGACUUUGCUCCACAUGUCUGCCUGUAAUCUGAGAACAUGUAUUCUGCAAGUGCUGGAGACCCAGUGAAAGCGGGACCCCACAGAGUUCAUCUUAGAUUCAUUGUUUGAAAUAAAACUACGUGGAUUCUUUGUGCCCUUUUUAGUUAUCUGUAAAACAAGUAUGAUAAUGCUUUGAGUGCUAAACAAUACAAGGUGUGUAGGAAGACACAGUACCUUUUAUUAGGGUAACUGAAAUAGCUGGGGGAAACCAGACAAGCUUUCAGGCUUGCCUGAAAUGCUUU